Molecule: long non-coding RNA, 298 nt
Organism: Ochotona princeps (American pika)
Lineage: Eukaryota; Metazoa; Chordata; Mammalia; Lagomorpha; Ochotonidae
Exons: 4
Source: RefSeq, a predicted model, not a curated record
CCUGCUAUUCCUUUCUGUUUCCUUAUUUGUUAAAACUCCUGUAUCUCUGUAGGGUGCAGUGAAGCAAGGAAGAAAGCUGCUCAACUUCUCUGAAGCUUUUAGGUGUUUAGAAGACACUUAAAAGAUAUAUUUAGUGUUUCAUUUGAAAUUUAUUAUUUUCCUGCUGAAAUUAACUCAGGAAUGUCAGGAAACUCUUCAGUAAAAACAGAAGCAAAACUAGAGGAAAAUACCAAGUCCUUUCAGAAUAAACCUGCUACAGAAAAAAAAGUGCUUCAGACUGGCCCUGGUAAAUUCUUCG